UACGUAGGGUGCGAGCGUUAAUCGGAAUUACUGGGCGUAAAGGGCGCGUAGGCGGCCUUCUAAGUCGAACGUGAAAUCCCCGGGCUCAACCCGGGAACUGCGUCCGAUACUGGAAGGCUUGAAUCCGGGAGAGGGAUGUGGAAUUCCAGGUGUAGCGGUGAAAUGCGUAGAUAUCUGGAGGAACACCGGUGGCGAAGGCGACAUCCUGGACCGGUAUUGACGCUGAGGCGCGAAAGCCAGGGGAGCAAACGGG
Molecule: ribosomal RNA, 253 nt
Filed under: uncultured bacterium
Lineage: Bacteria
Description: partial 16S ribosomal RNA
Rfam family: Bacterial small subunit ribosomal RNA
Source: RNAcentral